This 1725-nucleotide long non-coding RNA is filed under the name Salmo salar (Atlantic salmon). RNAcentral's name for it is "lncRNA (ENSSSAG00000109514.1)". Lineage: Eukaryota; Metazoa; Chordata; Actinopteri; Salmoniformes; Salmonidae. The record is from RNAcentral.
GGGACAUUAGGGUUAUAUACUGUUAUUGAUCAGUGGUUAGAGGGACAUUAGGGUUAUAUACUGUUAUUGAUUAGAGAGACAUUAGGGUUAUAUACUGUUAUUGAUUAGAGGGACAUUAGGGUUAUAUACUGUUAUUGAUUAGAGGGACAUUAGGGUUAUAUACUGUUAUUGAUUAGAGGGACAUUAGGGUUAUAUACUGUUAUUGAUCAGAGAGACAUUAGGGUUAUAUACUGUUAUUGAUUAGAGGUUAGAGGGACAUUAGGGUUAUAUACUGUUAUUGAUUAGAGGGACAUUAGGGUUAUAUACUGUUAUUGAUUAGAGAGACAUUAGGGUUAUAUACUGUUGUUGAUUAGAGAGACAUUAGGGUUAUAUACUGUUAUUGAUUAGAGGGACAUUAGGGUUAUAUACUGUUAUUGAUUAGAGAGACAUUAGGGUUAUAUACUGUUAUUGAUUAGAGGGACAUUAGGGUUAUAUACUGUUAUUGAUUAGAGAGACAUUAGGGUUAUAUACUGUUAUUGAUUAGAGAGACAUUAGGGUUAUAUACUGUUAUUGAUUAGAGAGACAUUAGGGUUAUAUACUGUUAUUGAUCAGAGAGACAUUAGGGUUAUAUACUGUUAUUGAUUAGAGAGACAUUAGGGUUAUAUACUGUUAUUGAUUAGAGAGACAUUAGGGUUAUAUACUGUUAUUGGUUAGAGGGACAUUAGGGUUAUAUACUGUUAUUGAUCAGUGGGACAUUAGGGUUAUAUACUGUUAUUGAUCAGAGAGACAUUAGGGUUAUAUACUGUUAUUGAUUAGUGGGACAUUAGGGUUAUAUACUGUUAUUGAUUAGAGAGACAUUAGGGUUAUAUACUGUUAUUGAUUAGUGGGACAUUAGGGUUAUAUACUGUUAUUGAUUAGAGAGACAUUAGGGUUAUAUACUGUUAUUGAUUAGAGAGACAUUAGGGUUAUAUACUGUUAUUGAUCAGAGGUUAGAGAGACAUUAGGGUUAUAUACUGUUAUUGAUCAGAGAGACAUUAGGGUUAUAUACUGUUAUUGAUUAGAGGGACAUUAGGGUUAUAUACUGUUAUUGAUUAGUGGGACAUUAGGGUUAUAUACUGUUAUUGAUUAGAGGGACAUUAGGGUUAUAUACUGUUAUUGAUUAGAGGUUAGAGAGACAUUAGGGUUAUAUACUAUUAUUGAUCAGAGAGACAUUAGGGUUAUAUACUGUUAUUGAUUAGAGGGACAUUAGGGUUAUAUACUGUUAUUGAUUAGAGGGACAUUAGGGUUAUAUACUGUUAUUGAUUAGAGAGACAUUAGGGUUAUAUACUGUUAUUGAUUAGAGAGACAUUAGGGUUAUAUACUGUUAUUGAUUAGAGGGACAUUAGGGUUAUAUACUGUUAUUGAUUAGUGGUUAGAGAGACAUUAGGGUUAUAUAUUGUUAUUGAUUAGAGAGACAUUAGGGUUAUAUACUGUUAUUGAUCAGAGAGACAUUAGGGUUAUAUACUGUUAUUGAUUAGAGAGACAUUAGGGUUAUAUACUGUUAUUGAUCAGUGGUUAGAGGGACAUUAGGGUUAUAUACUGUUAUUGAUUAGAGAGACAUUAGGGUUAUAUACUGUUAUUGAUCAGAGAGACAUUAGGGUUAUAUACUGUUAUUGAUCAGAGAGACAUUAGGGUUAUAUACUGUUAUUGAUUAGAGGUUAGAGAGACAUUAGGGUUAUAUACUGUUAUUGAUCAGAGAGACAUUAG